RNAcentral lists this ribosomal RNA (429 nucleotides) under Actinomycetes bacterium. RNAcentral describes it as "Actinobacteria bacterium partial 16S ribosomal RNA". It matches the Rfam family "Bacterial small subunit ribosomal RNA", at positions 355 to 776 of the family's 1533-position model. The record is from RNAcentral. Lineage: Bacteria; Bacillati; Actinomycetota; Actinomycetes.
UAGGUAAUCUUCCGCAAUGGGCGAAAGCCUGACGGAGCAACGCCGCGUGAGUGAUGAAGGUCUUCGGAUCGUAAAACUCUGUUAUUAGGGAAGAACAAAUGUGUAAGUAACUAUGCACGUCUUGACGGUACCUAAUCAGAAAGCCACGGCUAACUACGUGCCAGCAGCCGCGGUAAUACGUAGGUGGCAAGCGUUAUCCGGAAUUAUUGGGCGUAAAGCGCGCGUAGGCGGUUUUUUAAGUCUGAAGUGAAAGCCGACGGCUCAACCGUGGGGGGUCAUUGGAAGAUGGAAAACUUGAGGACAGAAGAGGAAAGUGGAAUUCCAUGUGUAGCAGUGAAAUACGCAGAGAUAUGGCGGAACACCAGUGGCGAAGGCGACGUUCUGGUCUGUAACUGACGCUGAUGAGCGAAAGAGUGGGGAUCAAACAGG